UACGGAGGGUGCAAGCGUUGUUCGGAAUCAUUGGGCGUAAAGCGCGUGUAGGCGGUUUGCUAAGUCUGGUGUGAAAGCCCGGGGCUUAACCCCGGAAGUGCACUGGAUACUGGCUAACUAGAGGGCGAGAGAGGAAAGUGGAAUUCCUGGUGUAGGGGUGAAAUCCGUAGAUAUCAGGAGGAACAUCGGUGGCGAAGGCGGCUUUCUGGCUCGUUUCUGACGCUGAGACGCGAAAGCGUGGGGAGCAAACAGG
Molecule: ribosomal RNA, 253 nt
Filed under: uncultured bacterium
Lineage: Bacteria
Description: partial 16S ribosomal RNA
Rfam family: Bacterial small subunit ribosomal RNA
Source: RNAcentral